Molecule: ribosomal RNA, 918 nt
Filed under: uncultured bacterium
Lineage: Bacteria
Description: bacterial SSU rRNA
Rfam family: Bacterial small subunit ribosomal RNA
Source: RNAcentral
AGAGUUUGAUCAUGGCUCAGGAUGAACGCUGGCGGCGUGCCUAACACAUGCAAGUCGAACGGGUGUGGUAUCAGGGAAAAGGGGUUUACUUCUUUGACCAGAUAACACACUAGUGGCGGACGGGUGAGUAACGCGUGGAUAACCUGCCUUAUACAGGGGGAUAACAGGGAGAAAUUCUUGCUAAUACCCCAUAGGUAUGUCUGACGCAUGUUGGACAUAUUAAAGCUUUGGCGGUGUAAGAUGGGUCCGCGUCUGAUUAGCUAGUUGGUGGGGUAAAGGCCCACCAAGGCGACGAUCAGUAGCCGGCUUGAGAGAGUGGACGGCCACAUUGGGACUGAGACACGGCCCAAACUCCUACGGGAGGCAGCAGUGGGGAAUAUUGCACAAUGGGGGAAACCCUGAUGCAGCGACGCCGCGUGAAGGAAGAAGGUCUUCGGAUCGUAAACUUCUAUCAGCAGGGAAGAAGGAAGUGACAGUACCUGAGUAAGAAGCCCCGGCUAACUACGUGCCAGCAGCCGCGGUAAUACGUAGGGGGCGAGCGUUAUCCGGAAUUACUGGGUGUAAAGGGUGCGUAGGCGGUAUGGCAAGUCAGUUGUGAAACCCCCUGGCUCAACCAGGGGCUUGCAAUUGAAACUGUCAUACUAGAGUGCAGGAGAGGAUAGCGGAAUUCCUAGUGUAGCGGUGAAAUGCGUAGAUAUUAGGAAGAACACCAGUGGCGAAGGCGGCUUUCUGGACUGUAACAGACGCUGAGGCACGAAAGCGUGGGGAGCGAACAGGAUUCGAUACCCUGGUAGUCCACGCCGUAAACGAUGAGUGCUAGGUGUUGGGGUCUAAUUAGAUCUCGGUGCUGAAGUUAACGCAUUAAGCACUCCACCUGGGGAGUACGAUCGCAAGAUUGAAACUUAAAUGAAUUGACGG